RNAcentral lists this ribosomal RNA (223 nucleotides) under uncultured bacterium. RNAcentral's name for it is "partial 16S ribosomal RNA". It matches the Rfam family "Bacterial small subunit ribosomal RNA", at positions 30 to 247 of the family's 1533-position model. The record is from RNAcentral.
AUUGAACGCUGGCGGAAUGCUUUACACAUGCAAGUCGAGCGGCAGCGCGGGGGCAACCCUGGCGGCGAGCGGCGAACGGGUGAGUAAUACAUCGGGAACGUGUCCUUGAGUGGGGGAUAGCUCGGCGAAAGCCGGAUUAAUACCGCAUAAGCUCUGAGGAGGAAAGCGGGGGUACCUGGUAACGGGCCUCGCGCUGUUGGAGCGGCCGAUGUCGGAUUAGCUA